GGUGGCUCAGUGGUAGAGUGCUUGUCUUGCAUGCAUGAGACCCUGGGUUCAAUUCCUCAGCACCA
Molecule: transfer RNA, 65 nt
Filed under: Dipodomys ordii (Ord's kangaroo rat)
Lineage: Eukaryota; Metazoa; Chordata; Mammalia; Rodentia; Heteromyidae
Rfam family: tRNA
About the family: Transfer RNA (tRNA) molecules are approximately 80 nucleotides in length.
Source: Rfam by way of RNAcentral